ACAAAUCCUGAAUUGUUGUUUGUGCAUGGGUGUAUGUGUAUGAUGGUCAUUUGAACAAAGGGGAUUUCACUCCCACUCAUUCAUUUGAUGUCAUGUGCAUAUUCCAUUCACAAGCAAUACACUCGUUCCAUGUGCAUUCACUUGUGCAUGAUAACAUUUCUACGAAUCAUCUGAUUGUCACAUAAUCUAAUCUAUUAUUUAUAA
Molecule: unclassified non-coding RNA, 204 nt
Filed under: uncultured fungus
Lineage: Eukaryota; Fungi
Description: sequence contains ITS1, 5.8S rRNA gene
Source: RNAcentral